Molecule: ribosomal RNA, 274 nt
Filed under: uncultured bacterium
Lineage: Bacteria
Description: partial 16S ribosomal RNA
Rfam family: Bacterial small subunit ribosomal RNA
Source: RNAcentral
AUACGGAGGGUGCGAGCGUUAAUCGGAAUUACUGGGCGUAAAGCGCGCGUAGGCGGCUAUAUAAGUCAGAUGUGAAAUCCCUGGGCUCAACCUAGGAACUGCAUUUGAAACUGUAUGGCUAGAGUAUGGUAGAGGUGAGUGGAAUUUCAGGUGUAGCGGUGAAAUGCGUAGAGAUCUGAAGGAACAUCAGUGGCGAAGGCGACUCACUGGGCCAUUACUGACGCUGAGGUGCGAAAGCGUGGGUAGCAAACAGGAUUAGAUACCCUAGUAGUCC